This is a ribosomal RNA of 864 nucleotides. It matches the Rfam family "Eukaryotic large subunit ribosomal RNA", at positions 74 to 956 of the family's 3401-position model.
AUUGCCUCAGUAACGGCGAGUGAAGCGGCAACAGCUCAAAUUUGAAAUCUGGCCCUUUCAGGGCCCGAGUUGUAAUUUGGAGAAGAUGCUUCGGGUGCGGCCCCGGUCUAAGUUCCUUGGAACAGGACGUCACAGAGGGUGAGAAUCCCGUACGUGCCCGGUGGUCGCCCCCGUGUGAAGCUCUUUCGACGAGUCGAGUUGUUUGGGAAUGCAGCUCAAAAUGGGUGGUAAAUUUCAUCUAAAGCUAAAUAUUGGCCAGAGACCGAUAGCGCACAAGUAGAGUGAUCGAAAGAUGAAAAGCACUUUGGAAAGAGAGUUAAACAGUACGUGAAAUUGUUGAAAGGGAAGCGCUUGCAACCAGACUUGCGCGCGGCCGAUCAUCCGGUGUUCGCACCGGUGCACUCGACCGCGCGCAGGCCAGCAUCGGUUUGGGUGGCUGGAGAAAGGCCACGGGAAUGUGGCUCCCCUCGGGGAGUGUUAUAGCCCGCGGCGCAAUGCAGCCCACCCGGACCGAGGACCGCGCUUCGGCUAGGAUGCUGGCGUAAUGGUUGUAAGCGACCCGUCUUGAAACACGGACCAAGGAGUCUAACAUCUAUGCGAGUGUUUGGGUGUCAAACCCAUACGCGGAAUGAAAGUGAACGGAGGUGAGAACCCUUAAGGGUGCAUCAUCGACCGAUCCUGAUGUCUUCGGAUGGAUUUGAGUAAGAGCAUAGCUGUUGGGACCCGAAAGAUGGUGAACUAUGCCUGAAUAGGGUGAAGCCAGAGGAAACUCUGGUGGAGGCUCGCAGCGGUUCUGACGUGCAAAUCGAUCGUCAAAUUUGGGCAUAGGGGCGAAAGACUAAUCGAACCAUCUAGUAGCUGGUU